RNAcentral lists this ribosomal RNA (450 nucleotides) under uncultured bacterium. RNAcentral's name for it is "partial 16S ribosomal RNA". It matches the Rfam family "Bacterial small subunit ribosomal RNA", at positions 354 to 796 of the family's 1533-position model. The record is from RNAcentral.
GUGAGGAAUAUUGGGCAAUGGGCGAAAGCCUGACCCAGCCACGCCGCGUGAGUGAUGAAGGCCUUCGGGUUGUAAAGCUCUGUGGGGAGGGAAGAAAAAGCGCAGGAGUAACUGCCUGUGUGUUGACGGUACCUCCUUAGCAAGCACCGGCUAACUCUGUGCCAGCAGCCGCGGUAAUACAGAGGGUGCAAACGUUGCUCGGAAUUACUGGGCGUAAAGCGAGUGUAGGCUGACAUGCAAGUCGGGUGUGAAAUCCCAGGGCUCAACCUUGGAAAUGCCCUCGAAACUGCAAGUCUUGAGUACUGGAGAGGGAAGCGGAAUUCCGGGUGUAGAGGUGAAAUUCGUAGAUAUCCGGAGGAACACCAGUGGCGAAGGCGGCUUCCUGGACAGUAACUGACGCUGAGACGCGAAAGCGUGGGGAGCAAACAGGAUUAGAAACCCCGGUAGUCC